ACUAUUCGCUAAAGGG
RNAcentral lists this ribosomal RNA (16 nucleotides) under Cladosporium herbarum. RNAcentral's name for it is "partial 28S ribosomal RNA". The record is from RNAcentral. Lineage: Eukaryota; Fungi; Ascomycota; Dothideomycetes; Cladosporiales; Cladosporiaceae.